CCUUUGCCGGCGACCGGCGCACGGGUGAGUAACACGUAUGCAACCUGCCCCCUUCAGGGGGACAACCUUCCGAAAGGGAGGCUAAUCCCGCGUAUAUCGGUUUCGGGCAUCCGAGAUCGAGGAAAGAUUCAUCGGAAGAGGAUGGGCAUGCGGCGCAUUAGCUAGACGGCGGGGUAACGGCCCACCGUGGCGACGAUGCGUAGGGGUUCUGAGAGGAAGGUCCCCCACACUGGUACUGAGACACGGACCAGACUCCUACGGAAGGCAGCAG
This 271-nucleotide ribosomal RNA is filed under the name uncultured bacterium. Its description in RNAcentral is "partial 16S ribosomal RNA". It matches the Rfam family "Bacterial small subunit ribosomal RNA", at positions 82 to 354 of the family's 1533-position model. The record is from RNAcentral.